RNAcentral lists this long non-coding RNA (594 nucleotides) under Marmota monax (woodchuck). Lineage: Eukaryota; Metazoa; Chordata; Mammalia; Rodentia; Sciuridae. The record is from RNAcentral.
CUUUCUUCAAUUGUAUGUUAUUUGGUCCAGUAUUUUACAUACAUAUUUUAUUCACAUAUUUUUAAAACUUUCAAAGUCUCGUGAUUUCUGAACAGUUAUUCCUCACUUAGAAUUACUAGCAGUUACAAAUGUCUAGUUAUUCCUCCUUGUACCUCACUCCAUCCCUGUGAUCUCAAUUCAAGGAAUUUCAUCUUUAAUUCGUGUUUACUGGAAGCACAUACAAUGGAAAUAUUAUUUUGGUUGAAGUAUAUAGAGAAAAUGGCAUAUCAAAACUUGUCAAGUGUGGUAGUAUCUUAAAUUUAAGUUCCAGGGGAUAUCCUACUAUAUCAAUGAUCUUUUUUCCAUUGGCUGCUUUAAAAUGUACUUGUCUAUUGAGCGUUUGAAUUAACCUUCACCUAGGAAUGAUUUCACAGCAUCCAUACAUUGGUACUUGAAGAAUAAUAGUUUGCAGAUAACAAGAAAUCUUCCAGUGUUAGCAAUAUGUGUGUUUCAUUUCUGUGACUAUGACCAAUACCCAAGAUAAACCACUGCAUACAUGGAAAAGGUUUGUUUUGACUUAUGGUUUCAGAGAUCUCAGUCCACAGUCACUUGGCC